UAGAGUUUGAUCAUGGCUCAGAGCGAACGCUGGCGGUAUGCUUAACACAUGCAAGUCGAGCGAGAAAGUGGCUUCGGCCACGAGUACAGCGGCGGACGGGUGCGUAACACGUGGAUAAUCUGCCUUCAGGUCUGGGAUAACCCUGGGAAACUAGAGCUAAUACCGGAUAAGACCACAGGUUCCAUGGAACCAAGGGUAAAAGGCGGCCUUCGGGCUGUCUCCUGAAGAUGAGUCCGCGUCCCAUCAGGUUGUUGGUGAGGUAACGGCUCACCAAGCCGAAGACGGGUAGCCGACCUUAGCGGGUGAUCGGCCACACGGGGACUGAGACACGGCCCCGACUCCUACGGGAGGCAGCAGUGGGGAAUCUUGGGCAAUGGGCGAAAGCCUGACCCAGCAAUACCGCGUGAGGGAUGAAGGCCUUCGGGUCGUAAACCUCUGUCAGCAGGAACGAUGGGUCUCCGUGCUAAUACCACGGAGACUUGACGGUACCUGCAAAGGAAGCCCCGGCUAACUCCGUGCCAGCAGCCGCGGUAAUACGGAGGGGGCAAGCGUUGCUCGGAAUUACUGGGCGUAAAGGGUCCGCAGGUGGCCUCGUAAGUUGAAUGUGAAAUCUCAGGCUUAACCCUGAAACUGCAUCCAUACUGCGAGGCUUGAGUCCAAGAGAGGUGGCGGAAUUCCCGGUGUAGCGGUGAAAUGCGUAGAUAUCGGGAGGACACCAGUGCGAGCGGCCACUGGCUUGGAACUGACCCUCAGGACGAAGCGUGGGUAGCGAACCGGAUUAGAUACCCGGUAGC
RNAcentral lists this ribosomal RNA (794 nucleotides) under uncultured bacterium. RNAcentral's name for it is "bacterial SSU rRNA". It matches the Rfam family "Bacterial small subunit ribosomal RNA", at positions 1 to 794 of the family's 1533-position model. The record is from RNAcentral.